GUAGGUGGCAAGCGUUGUCCGGAAUUAUUGGGCGUAAAGCGCGCGCAGGCGGUUCUUUAAGUCUGAUGUGAAAGCCCACGGCUCAACCGUGGAGGGUCAUUGGAAACUGGAGAACUUGAGUACAGAAGAGGAAAGCGGAAUUCCACGUGUAGCGGUGAAAUGCGUAGAGAUGUGGAGGAACACCAGUGGCGAAGGCGGCUUUCUGGUCUGUAACUGACGCUGAGGCGCGAAAGCGUGGGGAGCAAACAGGGAUUAGAUACCCUGGUAGUCCACGCCGUAAACGAUGAGUGCUAAGUGUUAGGGGGGUUUCCCGCCCCCCUUAGUGCUGCAGCUAACGCAUUAAGCACUCCGCCUGGGGAGUACGGCCGCAAGGCUG
This 376-nucleotide ribosomal RNA is filed under the name uncultured organism. RNAcentral describes it as "partial 16S ribosomal RNA". It matches the Rfam family "Bacterial small subunit ribosomal RNA", at positions 527 to 896 of the family's 1533-position model. The record is from RNAcentral.